UACGUAGGUGACAAGCGUUGUCCGGAUUUACUGGGCGUAAAGAGCGCGCAGGCGGUCGAUCAAGUCGAGUGUGAAAGCCCCCGGCUCAACUGGGGAGGGUCAUUCGAUACUGAUCGACUCGAAGGCAGGAGAGGGUAGUGGAAUUCCGGGUGUAGUGGUGGAAUGCGUAGAGAUCCGGAGGAACACCAGCGGCGAAGGCGGCAUCCUGGACUGGUCCUGACGCUCAGGAGCGAAAGCGUGGGGAGCGAUCCGG
This 253-nucleotide ribosomal RNA is filed under the name uncultured bacterium. RNAcentral describes it as "partial 16S ribosomal RNA". It matches the Rfam family "Bacterial small subunit ribosomal RNA", at positions 524 to 776 of the family's 1533-position model. The record is from RNAcentral.